CAUAUCUGCGCCCUGCCACUCGCCGCCUCUCGCCAGUAUCCCUCGCCGUCGAUCCCGGCCUAAAUCACCACCGCGGAGCCGACCACGGUGACCACGCUGCGCCAUCCAUGGUGGCAGCACCGCGCCGCCCAUGCAGAUCGGCCGGGUUGCGACGGCCUGGUGACCUCGCAUCUCGGUGGCCGCGUCGCCUCGUGCCGAUUUGAUGCCCACCGGACCUACCGCGGGGCUUGCUCUCCGACCGGUUCCUAGGCGGGCAUCCCUCUGAUUCCUCUGCUUGCGUACGACGGGUGCCCAGGCGCGCAUCCCUGUUCUUCUACUCUGACGGCCAGCUGUCCAGAAGUUAAAUGUGAGCAUGGUAGGGAGCCAAGGUAUCUCACCCCUCCCUCCCCAAAUUUGGUGAUUAGUGUAUAGGAAUAUUUAGGAUUAACUGAUAUUGAAAUCUUUGAGCUAUAGGCUAUAGCUUAGUGAGAUAUAUAGGAACUAGUUGAUGAGGAACAACAUGAGGUGAGGCUUAUGUUUCUGAACAUUUAAUUUAGUAUAAGAGCUUAACGAUCAAUAGGUACAAUGUCUCUGCAGGCGCAUCUGGUUCUACUCCAGCUAUAGACGUAAAUUUUUAGGCUCAGAAGAAUAUUUUCAGAUGGUCAAGACAGUUGGGGCUUCUGAUGGGCUGAGAGGUUAGCAGCCCCUGUGCUUUUUAGUGGAAAGAGAUUGAAAAUCUUGGAGCACUGUAUUUCACUCCCCUGAAAAUCUUCAUGAUGCUGCUUAAAAUUUAUGAUUAUUUAUCAGUAUGUUACUAGGAUUUAGAGGGCAGAAACAUAUUUUUACACAUUGAUUACAUUGGGUUCUCAAUAAUAUUGUUCUUUGUCAGUUUUAGUGUCACGAAUGGGAUCUUUGCAAAUUCAAACAUGGCAUGUUCUUCUGUUUUGCCACUCAUGUAAUGUUGUACCAGUAAAUCGGCCUUUCAUUGGAUUAAUGUGCUGCUUUAUCGUCACCCCAUAAACUUUUUAAUACUCAUUCCAGGAGAUACACCUGUAUCAUUUAUCUAUGUGCCUUGUGCAGUUACAAAGUAACAGAUGCAAGUACUACAAUGUCAUGUCUUUUUGUUGAAUCUAUAUUGGUUAAUGAAGACGUGCAUUGCGUGUGCAUGUUUACUAGUAAGGUAAAAUAACUCUUCUUUUAUUUCAUAGAAGGAUAUAUGGAAGAUUUAAGAUUCGUAUUCGUUGAAGUUACACAAUGAUUCAUUUUUCCUAUAUUACAAUGUGGGGUGCGAGAGAACUAUACCAUUCGAUGUUUUGUCCCAUUAAAUCCUGUAUAGGUAAACGGCAUUGUAACUUGUAACUUUGGUUAAUUUCAUUUGCUAUCGAGAAGAAGCAAAAUUGGUUGAGCCCAACACCAGAAUAUUGUACUUUGUACUUUUUCUAUUGAUUAGUGCAACUAAGGUGAUGAUUGGAUUGUCGUUUCUCACUGCUAAACCCCUGUAAAAUUUACACGCCUUCCACCGUCGUUUUCUUUUUCUGACGAAAAUCGUGUGUGGCCGGUAAUGUACACAUGUAUAUUGUACACGGAUGUAUAAUUAUACACCGAUUCCAAGCGGGGUGUAAAUAUGUCAAUGAACCUGACUGGAUGUUAUUUGCUUGAGAUAGAGUUAGGUUUAGUCCAGAUCAUACUGUAUCCUUGUUAGGAAUUGUUAGGCCUGCUCACUAUAAACCUGAGCCUGUUCUGGCUUACUUUGUGUUCAAACACUUUAUUUAUCAUCGAAUUAUCUUCUUUGUUUUCAGGAACAUGUUCUUACGGGUGGCCAUGGUCUGCUGUUGAUGGACAUGCUAACUUGUAAUUCAGUAUCUUGCUCAAGGUCUUGAUGAGUGGUGUAGAUACUUUGCAUGACCAGCACAAGGUGUUGACAUCCGUUUUAAUCAGAGAUGUAGAUAGUUGGCCUGACUAAUAGUAGCAAAUAAUUGCCCAGAUCAACAGCGCCUGUACAUGCUGAUUUAGUUGUUCUUUUAGCUAUAGUUUACUUCUUAAAUGGUUAGCUCUAAAUUGACCAUGAGUCUGAUGUAUGUGUAAUUGAACGAGAAUCUGAUGUGUACAUUGCAUUUUGGCUGCAAUUUAUAAAUUUGAAUUUGGGCUCAGAAUUUAAUUA
This is a long non-coding RNA of Triticum dicoccoides, 2140 nucleotides long. RefSeq lists it as uncharacterized. The record is from RefSeq and is a predicted model, not a curated record. The transcript is spliced from 2 exons. NCBI's taxonomy places the organism in Eukaryota, Viridiplantae, Streptophyta, Magnoliopsida, Poales, Poaceae.